This 230-nucleotide ribosomal RNA is filed under the name uncultured Alicycliphilus sp. Its description in RNAcentral is "partial 16S ribosomal RNA". It matches the Rfam family "Bacterial small subunit ribosomal RNA", at positions 550 to 774 of the family's 1533-position model. Lineage: Bacteria; Pseudomonadati; Pseudomonadota; Betaproteobacteria; Burkholderiales; Comamonadaceae. The record is from RNAcentral.
AGCUGAUCACUGGGUGUAAAGAGUGCGCAGGCGGUUUUGUAAGACAGAGGUGAAAUCCCCGGGCUCAACCUGGGAACUGCCUUUGUGACUGCAAGGCUGGAGUGCGGCAGAGGGGGAUGGAAUUCCGCGUGUAGCAGUGAAAUGCGUAGAUAUGCGGAGGAACACCGAUGGCGAAGGCAAUCCCCUGGGCCUGCACUGACGCUCAUGCACGAAAGCGUGGGGAGCAAACA